This is a small nuclear RNA of Bison bison bison, 107 nucleotides long. Lineage: Eukaryota; Metazoa; Chordata; Mammalia; Artiodactyla; Bovidae. The record is from Ensembl.
GUGCUCGCUUUGGCAGUACAUAUACUAAAAUUGAAAUGGUACAGACAAGAUUUGCAUGGCCCCUGUGCAAUGAUGACACACACAUUCGUGAAGUGUUCCAUAUUUUU